RNAcentral lists this ribosomal RNA (531 nucleotides) under Fusarium armeniacum. RNAcentral describes it as "eukaryotic LSU rRNA". The stretch from base 162 to 315 matches the Rfam family "5.8S ribosomal RNA". The record is from RNAcentral. Lineage: Eukaryota; Fungi; Ascomycota; Sordariomycetes; Hypocreales; Nectriaceae.
GAAGUUCCCGUUGGCUCGGGUUCACUCCCAACCCCUGUGAACAUACCUUUAUGUUGCCUCGGCGGAUCAGCCCGCGCCCCGUAAAACGGGACGGCCCGCCGCAGGAAACCCUAAACUCUGUUUUUAGUGGAACUUCUGAGUAUAAAAAACAAAUAAAUCAAAACUUUCAACAACGGAUCUCUUGGUUCUGGCAUCGAUGAAGAACGCAGCAAAAUGCGAUAAGUAAUGUGAAUUGCAGAAUUCAGUGAAUCAUCGAAUCUUUGAACGCACAUUGCGCCCGCCAGUAUUCUGGCGGGCAUGCCUGUUCGAGCGUCAUUUCAACCCUCAAGCCCAGCUUGGUGUUGGGAUCUGUGUGCAAACACAGUCCCCAAAUUGAUUGGCGGUCACGUCGAGCUUCCAUAGCGUAGUAAUUUACACAUCGUUACUGGUAAUCGUCGCGGCCACGCCGUUAAACCCCAACUUCUGAAUGUUGACCUCGGAUCAGGUAGGAAUACCCGCUGAACUUAAGCAUAUCAAAAACGGGGAAGAAAA